This 384-nucleotide unclassified non-coding RNA is filed under the name soil metagenome. RNAcentral's name for it is "partial contains 5.8S ribosomal RNA, internal transcribed spacer 2, and large subunit ribosomal RNA". The stretch from base 1 to 120 matches the Rfam family "5.8S ribosomal RNA", at positions 35 to 154 of the family's 154-position model. The record is from RNAcentral.
GAUGAAGAACGUAGCGAAAUGCGAUAAGUAAUGUGAAUUGCAGAAUUCAGUGAAUCAUCGAAUCUUUGAACGCACCUUGCACCCUUUGGCAUUCCGAAGGGUAUGCUCGUUUGAGUGUCAUUGUACUCUCACACUCCCAAUUGCUUUGGAUUGGGAGCGGUGGACUUGGGUGUUGCUGCUUGACUGAGGCUCACCUGAAAUAUGUUAGUGCACCUCUUGAUUGGACAUAGUACGGCGUGAUAAGUGUCUUCGCCGGCUCCUCGCAAAGAGGGUGGCCGAUCGGGAGCUCUGUGCUUUCAAACCGUCUUCGGACAAUUUCUGACAACUUGACCUCAAAUCGAGUAGGACUACCCGCUGAACUUAAGCAUAUCAAUAAGCGGAGGA